CAAUAGCGUAUAUUAAAGUUGUUGCAGUUAAAAAGCUCGUAGUUGAAUUUCUGGCGGGCGCGCCGGUCUUCCAAGUGUUGUACUGGGCGCAGUCCGCCAUCCUUGUGGAGAGGGCUCGCAUUGAGUUGCGUGUCGGAUCUGCAUCAUUUACUGUGAAAAAAUUAGAGUGUUUAAAGCAGGCUGUCGCUUGGAUACAUUAGCAUGGAAUAAUAAGAUAGGACUUCGGUCUAUUUUGUUGGUUGCGAACCGAGGUAAUGAUUAAUAGGGAUAGUUGGGGGUAUUCAUAUUUAAUUGUCAGAGGUGAAAUUCUUGGAUUUAUUAAAGACUAACAUCUGCGAAAGCAUUUGCCAAGGAUGUUUNCAUUA
Molecule: ribosomal RNA, 365 nt
Filed under: uncultured eukaryote
Lineage: Eukaryota
Description: partial 18S ribosomal RNA
Rfam family: Eukaryotic small subunit ribosomal RNA
Source: RNAcentral